Pseudopodoces humilis (Tibetan ground-tit) is the source of this 2607-nucleotide long non-coding RNA. RefSeq lists it as uncharacterized. Lineage: Eukaryota; Metazoa; Chordata; Aves; Passeriformes; Paridae. The record is from RefSeq and is a predicted model, not a curated record.
UCGUAUUUUGAGAUAACUUGCUUUCUCUGCCCGCAGCACGGAGAGUUUGAGUGCCUGAACACAUGUGGAACCCAGCACAGUGUGAUCAGGAGAGGGCCUGUCACAUGCUCUAAAUCCUUGUGCAAAUCUGAAGCAGAAUCCUCAUGCUGCAGUAAAUGGUUGCCCAGCCCAUGCUACCUUUCACAUCCACAUGCAGUUGGUCUUCUGGAAGGGAUGUGUGGAAUAGAAAUAGUGAAGUUGUAACACCAGAGAAGCCCAGAGGGGAAAAAGGUACUGAUGACAAAUUCCCCUGAAAGCUCAGACAUUAUUCCUUGGGAAAAGUGAGUGUCAGGAGCCUGGUUAUGGAGCCAUGGGGCCAUUUAUGGACAGCCUUUGCUGGAGGAAUGCUCCUGCUAGGAAGUGACUGACUUGAGCACUGAUGGCAGAGGUGGUGAAUCCAGAGACUCAGAGCCUGAGGAGUUUCAGGAUCUUCUCAGGUUACAUUUCUAGAGGAAGGAACUAACUUUCUCUCUACAUGCAUUCGUGGCUCUGGUCACAACGAGGUGGAAGAUGCAGGUGAAACCCACAGUCAUAUUGGCAGCUGCAUCCCAAAUUAGCCAAAGGAAAGCAAGUACUUGAAGCUCAGGACAGGAUGUGGCUGCCCUGAGGUAAAUCCUGAGUGCUUUCACAGCAACCCCUGUCCUCAGGACAGCCCUGACAGGUAACAUCAAGGCUGACCAUGCCAGGGAACUCGGAUUCAAGAAUCCAGACCAAAUACCAUCAUGUUUUGCCAUGUUCUUUCACAUGUUCAUAUUCUCUAAGAAUAUGAGGAGUUGUGUUCAUUGAUCUUAAUUCUCCUUCUCUAGACACAAGAAAAAUGUUCUGUUUCAGUCCCUUGCUCCCUGCAUUCCCAUUGCUGCUUCUCCCAGAAAUUGUAAAAAUACCUUUUCAGUAAAGCAUCUUGUGGUUCCUGUUUCAUCCUACAUUCACAUAAAAGCUUGAUCGUGUCCAAAGAAUUAGGAAGAUGCCUGAAAAUCCCUCUUAUGUGUUCUAUAUGUAAACUCUGUUUUUCCUGUUUUGCUUGGUAUUUCUGCCUGAAGGCAUCAGGAGAAAUCCAGAGGUCAUCUGUUAAAGAAACAAGGCAAGAAAAGAAAGCAAUUGACCAGCAAAGAGGCACCUUCUUAAGUAAAACAGCCAGGUGCAGAGCUGUGGGAAGAAACUUCCCAGUCCCUGUACUGGAAAAGAACUGCUAAGGCUGGGAAAAGGGAAAUGGAAGGACACACAAACACCUGUUAAAAGCUCUGCCAUCUGUAAAAGCAGGGACACAUUCUGCAUGCUUGGAGGUGCUCUGGGGUAAGAAAGGCAAGGCUGCCCUUUCAUGAGGGGAAACACUGACAAGACAGGGACUGACACAGAGAAGUCUCCUCUGUGGUUCUGUGCUUGAAGAUGGGAAAGCACAAACACCUCAGCCACAGUCAGGCAGAGUUCAGCUGUGUUGUGGGGAAGGUCAGCUGGAGGGAGAGACAGAGCAGAAAAUGGCCCAAGGCAACAAAUGAGCAGCAAUGGCAACUGCAAGAGCUCCAGAAAGCAAAAAGAAGCAAAUCCAGAGAUGGGGGCUCCAGCUGAUGUGUCUCUGGCUAUUCAGACCAGUGUUGCUGAGAUGAAAAAGAAACAGUCUGAAAGAAAAGUCUCCUGUGCAUGCAGAGACACUUUUGUUCAAUACAUCUCAAAAAAUAUUUUAGAGAAUAGACAUAAAAUACUUCUAAAAAUGUACUGAACACACAAAACACAUCUCUUGUCCAAGAUCAAAAGAAAUAUGUUUUUCCAGUCACAAUGAAGCAAAGGGUAUAAAAAGCUGUAUUUCAGUCAUCAUUAUUACAUGUAUUUUCUUUCCAGCAGCGGACUGGAAAACUGGAUCCCAUAUAAGCCAGGUGGCACUGAGAAAACAAUCUCCUCAGAACCAGAUUCUUCUGCUAGUAGGAUGCUGUGUCUCUGCAGAAAAAAAAAAAAAAAAAUAAAAAGCAAACCACUUUCCCUCAUACAGGAAUGGUAUUUCUAAAGUGCCACAGUCCUACUGCUGGAUCUGAGCUCUGCUAGCACAACAGAAAUUUACAGUAUUCUACAUCCCAGAGCUGGCAGCAGCAUUUGGGCACCAGCUGGUAACCACACAUCUGGCAUGGAGCGUGCUAGGGAUGCUCUGCUGGAAUUAGAGUAACUAAUUUGCUUUUUCCAGUAGCCUCCCAAUAUGACCCUGAGGGAGGAGCUGACUGGUAGAGAAGCCAGCAAGGUGGCUGCUGUCAAAGUGAACCUUCUGGUUCUUUCCUUUUUAUAACUCCUCAAUACCUUCUGAAUUUGUCUCAUAAGUUAAUCAUGAAGUGAUUAAAUCCCAGGAAGAAGAGAAGUAUACCCUGUAACUUCUGCAACAGCAAAGGAAGGGUUGGUAGCCAGAUUCUCCUCUCUGUCUCCAUGACCACAAAAAGUAAAGGGCAACUGGGCCAGGGGAAAUUAAUUAUUUCAGCCAAGUGACACUGAACAGUCAAAACAAACAAUGGCUUUGGAAAGGAACUCCAGUUAUGUGCUUACAUUGGUGAGCAAUCCCAUCCUAGCUGCUAGGGAACAGCUGUGAAC